RNAcentral lists this ribosomal RNA (504 nucleotides) under Fusarium equiseti. RNAcentral's name for it is "eukaryotic LSU rRNA". The stretch from base 169 to 322 matches the Rfam family "5.8S ribosomal RNA". Lineage: Eukaryota; Fungi; Ascomycota; Sordariomycetes; Hypocreales; Nectriaceae. The record is from RNAcentral.
ACCUGCGGAGGGAUCAUUACCGAGUUUACAACUCCCAAACCCCUGUGAACAUACCUAUACGUUGCCUCGGCGGAUCAGCCCGCGCCCCGUAAAAAGGGACGGCCCGCCCGAGGACCCCUAAACUCUGUUUUUAGUGGAACUUCUGAGUAAAACAAACAAAUAAAUCAAAACUUUCAACAACGGAUCUCUUGGUUCUGGCAUCGAUGAAGAACGCAGCAAAAUGCGAUAAGUAAUGUGAAUUGCAGAAUUCAGUGAAUCAUCGAAUCUUUGAACGCACAUUGCGCCCGCCAGUAUUCUGGCGGGCAUGCCUGUUCGAGCGUCAUUUCAACCCUCAAGCUCAGCUUGGUGUUGGGACUCGCGGUAACCCGCGUUCCCCAAAUCGAUUGGCGGUCACGUCGAGCUUCCAUAGCGUAGUAAUCAUACACCUCGUUACUGGUAAUCGUCGCGGCCACGCCGUAAAACCCCAACUUCUGAAUGUUGACCUCGGAUCAGGUAGGAAUACCC